RNAcentral lists this ribosomal RNA (253 nucleotides) under uncultured bacterium. Its description in RNAcentral is "partial 16S ribosomal RNA". It matches the Rfam family "Bacterial small subunit ribosomal RNA", at positions 524 to 776 of the family's 1533-position model. The record is from RNAcentral.
UACGUAGGUGACCAGCGUUGUCCGGAUUUACUGGGCGUAAGAGCGCGCAGGCGGUCGUUCAAGUCGAGUGUGAAAGCCCCCCGGCUCAACUGGGGAGGGUCAUUCGAUACUGAUCGACUGGAAGGCAGGAGAGGGAAGCGGAAUUCCCGGUGUAGUGGUGAAAUGCGUAGAUAUCGGGAGGAACACCCAUGGCGAAGGCAGCUCUCUGGUCGACCUCUGACGCUGAGACGCGAAAGCGUGGGGAGCGAACGGG